GUUAAGUUUUAUUCUUGCUUAUUCGUUCAGUUUAUGUUUGUUCUAUAUGUAAGUUUGUGCGUAAUUUGUCGUGGUCGGCCCUAAAUGGUCUUGGUUAUUAUGUGUAAGGUUGUUUUUAAUCUAUAAUUCUCAUUAGUUGUUAUUGGUGUGGUUCAAGUAAUCUUGUAUUUAGCAAUAUAUUUUAGUUUCGGUUAAAUUUUGUGCCAGCAGCCGCGGUUAUACCUUGGAGGCGUUUGAAUGUUUUCGGCGUUAAUGUAGUUAUAUUGAUUAGUUUUUGAUUUUGUUUUGGUGAUUGUUAGGUGAAAUUUUUAUUUUUGGUUUAUUUCGGGUGUCUUUAUUGGAGGCUAUGAAAUUCUUAUUAUAGACUAGGAUUAGAUACCCUAUUAUUUUAGAAUGUUAAUUUUUUAUGUCUGAGUAGUAUUAGUUAUGUUCUUGAAACUUAAAGAAUUUGGCGGUAUCUCAUUCCUUCCAGAGGAAUCUGUCUCGUUAUCGAUAGUCCACGUUGGACCUUACUUAGUUGCUUUGGUUUGUAUACCGCCGUUUAUUGAUUAUCCUUUUAGGGUUGUUUUAAUUUUCUGGUUUCUUUAUUAUGAUUUAUUUCAGGUCAAGGUGCAGCUUGUUUCUAAGUGAAUGAUGGAUUACAUUGUUAUUUGUAUUUAUUGGAUUGUUGAUUUUUAUAUUGACAUGAAAUUGGAUUUGGCUGUAAUUGUUUGCAGACUGUUAUUGUGAUAUUGGUUCUGAGAUAUGUACACAUCGCCCGUCGCUCUCGUUUAGUUUAUUAAUGAGAUAAGUCGUAACAAAGUGGUUGUACCGGAAGGUGCAGCUGGGUUGGAGUUAA
RNAcentral lists this non-coding RNA (838 nucleotides) under Termitinae sp. Lineage: Eukaryota; Metazoa; Arthropoda; Insecta; Blattodea; Termitidae. The record is from RNAcentral.